This 506-nucleotide ribosomal RNA is filed under the name uncultured bacterium. RNAcentral's name for it is "partial 16S ribosomal RNA". It matches the Rfam family "Bacterial small subunit ribosomal RNA", at positions 29 to 523 of the family's 1533-position model. The record is from RNAcentral.
AGCGAACGCUGGCGGCAGGCCUAACACAUGCAAGUCGAACGGCAGCACAGGAGAGCUUGCUCUCUGGGUGGCGAGUGGCGGACGGGUGAGGAAUACAUCGGAAUCUACUCUGUCGUGGGGGAUAACGUAGGGAAACUUACGCUAAUACCGCAUACGACCUACGGGUGAAAGCAGGGGACCUUCGGGCCUUGCGCGAUUGAAUGAGCCGAUGUCGGAUUAGCUAGUUGGCGGGGUAAAGGCCCACCAAGGGGAGGAUCCGUAGCUGGUCUGAGAGGGUGAUCAGCCACACUGGAACUGAGACACGGUCCAGACUCCUACGGGAGGCAGCAGUGGGGAAUAUUGGACAAUGGGCGCAAGCCUGAUCCAGCCAUACCGCGUGGGUGAAGAAGGCCUUCGGGUUGUAAAGCCCUUUUGUUGGGAAAGAAAUCCAGCUGGCUAAUACCCGGUUGGGAUGACGGUACCCAAAGAAUAAGCACCGGCUAACUUCGUGCCAGCCGCCGCCGUAA